GAUGAAGACGUAGCGAAAUGCGAUAAGUAAUGUGAAUUGCAGAAUUCAGUGAAUCAUCGAAUCUUUGAACGCACCUUGCGCUCUUUGGUAUUCCGAAGAGCAUGCCUGUUUGAGUGUCAUGAAAAUAUCAACCUUGACUUGGGUUUUGUGCUCUAGUCUCGGCUUGGAAUUGGGUGCUUGCCGCUUUUACGAGCGGCUCACCUUAAAUGUAUUAGCUGGAUCUGUCUUUGAGACUUGGUUUGACUUGGCGUAAUAAGUAUUUCGCUAAGGACAUUCUUCGGAGUGGCCUCGUUUCUAGGACGCUUGUCCGCUUUCCAAUACAAGUUCCACCUCGUGGACAUGACUUUUUAUUAUCUGGCCUCAAAUCAGGUAGGACUACCCGCUGAACUUAAGCAUAUCAAUAAGCGGAGGA
This 412-nucleotide unclassified non-coding RNA is filed under the name soil metagenome. Its description in RNAcentral is "partial contains 5.8S ribosomal RNA, internal transcribed spacer 2, and large subunit ribosomal RNA". The stretch from base 1 to 119 matches the Rfam family "5.8S ribosomal RNA", at positions 35 to 154 of the family's 154-position model. The record is from RNAcentral.